UGGGGAAUUUUGGACAAUGGGCGAAAGCCUGAUCCAGCCAUGCCGCGUGAGUGAAGAAGGCCUUCGGGUUGUAAAGCUCUUUUAGUCGGAAAGAAAGAGUCGCAAUGAAUAAUUGUGAUUUAUGACGGUACCGACAGAAAAAGCACCGGCUAACUACGUGCCAGCAGCCGCGGUAAUACGUAGGGUGCGAGCGUUAAUCGGAAUUACUGGGCGUAAAGGGUGCGCAGGCGGUUUUGCAAGUCAGAUGUGAAAGCCCCGGGCUUAACCUGGGAAUUGCGUUUGAAACUACAAGGCUAGAGUGCAGCAAAGGGGAGUGGAAUUCCAUGUGUAGCAGUGAAAUGCGUAGAGAUGUGGAAGAACACCGAUGGCGAAGGCAGCUCCCUGGGUUGACACUGGCGCUCA
This 402-nucleotide ribosomal RNA is filed under the name uncultured bacterium. Its description in RNAcentral is "bacterial SSU rRNA". It matches the Rfam family "Bacterial small subunit ribosomal RNA", at positions 355 to 749 of the family's 1533-position model. The record is from RNAcentral.